Molecule: long non-coding RNA, 1044 nt
Organism: Cyprinus carpio (common carp)
Lineage: Eukaryota; Metazoa; Chordata; Actinopteri; Cypriniformes; Cyprinidae
Source: Ensembl
AUGAAGGUUCGUUAUGGCCAGAAAAGUGUUUCUCGUAAAUUUCAGUCUGGAGAUUCUGUGAUGGUUCUACUCACUGUGCCAGGGUCCGCGUUGCAAACUAAGUUUGUUGGACCUUACAUUGUUGAUAGGCAGCUAAGUGAAACUAAUUAUGUGAUCCGAACUCCUGAUCGGAGACGAAAGACUCGGGUGUGUCAUGUCAAUAUGUUGAAGGCCUAUGUUGCCAGGAAUGAGUCAAAGUCAUCUAAGUCUGCACCUGUUGUUUCUCCUGCUGAUAUUGUUCAUCCUGUUAUGUCUCUUGCUUACUGCCCUGAGCAAGAUGGGUUGGAAGUAAAUGAUGCUCAGAUGUCAUGUAUUGGCCUGAAGAAUUCUGAUGUUUUAAAUAACCUUGAGUUUCAUCUUGCACACCUUUCUAAGGAGCAAAGUAGGGAUGUUGUUAAGCUACUUGGGGAACAUCCCACUUUAUUUUCAGAUGUACCACAACAAACCACCGUGUUAACUCACGAUAUUGAUGUGGGAACUGCUGUACCUAUUAAGCAACAUCCUUACAGGGUUAACCCCAAGAAGAGAGAAGUUAUGCGGAUGGAGGUGGAGUAUCUGUUGCACUAUGGAUUGGCGGAACCUAGCAAGAGUCCCUGGAGUUCUCCUUGUUUGUUGGCGCCAAAGGCAGAUUCUUCAUUGCGGUUUUGUACGGAUUACCAUAAGGUAAAUGCCAUCACUAAGCCUGACUCUUUCCCCUUACCAAGGUUAGAGGAUUGUGUUGACCGGGUGGGUUCAUCGCAGUUUGUCACCAAGUUGGAUCUCCUCAAAGGUUACUGGCAAGUUCAUUUGACGGCUCGAGCAUCAGAGAUUUCUGCCUUUGUGACCCCUGACAACUUUCUGCAAUAUAAGGUCAUGGCCUUUGGGAUGCGAAACGCACCAGCUACAUUUCAGAGGCUUAUGCAGGAAGUAUUGUCCGGGAUUACUGAUUGUGAGGCCUACUUGGAUGAUAUUGUUAUCUUUUCACCUACGUGGAGGGAUCAUGUGGAAAAGUUGAACUGUGUUUGA